AGAUAUCCAAGCAUACAGAAGUACAGGAUCUGAGAAACAGUCCAGGAAGGAGAGAGCCGUGUGCCGAACUGCUGAGCCAAGACCAGAGUCAACCCUGAGCCCUCCUCACUACAAGGCAGACCCCACACCAUCGCUGGAGGAAGGGGGAUCAGUGUUGUGCUCCUUGGCUUGUGAGACAGGAUGACCACAGCUGCUGCAAGACAGCAGGAAAUCACCUCUGUAAAGCUAUCCAGGAAGUCUGGAAUUCAGAGGGCUGCCAUCUUUAGCUCUGCAUGGGCUGAACUCCCAGGAAGCAGCUGUCCUCCUUGGUACUGCGAUGUCUUAGUGGGAGAAGACAGGGACCCUGAACAUUAGCUGGGCUCUGAGCAAGGAUUCAGCCCCUCUGCGGUCCCCAGCUUCUCCAUAGGAAACUUCUUCACCUAGCUGCUGCCAGCGUGCUUUUGGCGACCCUGAGUGUCCCGUCAGCUGUUACAGGCCGUUACAGGAUUU
RNAcentral lists this long non-coding RNA (489 nucleotides) under Struthio camelus australis. Its description in RNAcentral is "lncRNA (ENSSCUG00000005016.1)". The record is from RNAcentral. Lineage: Eukaryota; Metazoa; Chordata; Aves; Struthioniformes; Struthionidae.